CGACCUCGAGCUUCGACACUUUCGCGACAGCCGUCAGCAUGGCCUCGGUUUCAGACCAUCUACCCUGAAGCUCCACCAACUCCCCGGCAAGACGACUGGUCUCAGAACCGCACUCGCUGAUCAUCCCAUCGAUCAACGACAUGAACUGCGAACGAGAAAAAAAAGUUAAAACUAAUUCCGAGAGAGAAUGUACAUGAAACGAUCGAGAAACUCAAGUGAGCGACAAACCUUUCCCCGAAGUCCCGACGCUAGGCUCGAUCCUCCUUGCUGCGAAGAUUCCCCGUCA
This 286-nucleotide long non-coding RNA is filed under the name Brassica napus (rape). RNAcentral's name for it is "long non-coding RNA (BNAP_LNC011299)". Lineage: Eukaryota; Viridiplantae; Streptophyta; Magnoliopsida; Brassicales; Brassicaceae. The record is from RNAcentral.